This 253-nucleotide ribosomal RNA is filed under the name uncultured bacterium. RNAcentral describes it as "partial 16S ribosomal RNA". It matches the Rfam family "Bacterial small subunit ribosomal RNA", at positions 524 to 776 of the family's 1533-position model. The record is from RNAcentral.
UACGAAGGUGGCAAGCGUUGUUCGGAAUCACUGGGCUUAAAGCGCACGCAGGCGGAGCAGCAAGUGCUUUGUGAAAUCCCUCGGCUUAACCGAGGAAUUGCUUGGCAAACUGCUAUUCUUGAGGCAAGCAGGGGUGUGUGGAACUCUUGGUGGAGCGGUGGAAUGCGUAGAUAUCAAGAGGAACGCCGAAGGUGAAGACAGCACACUGGGCUUGUCCUGACGCUGAGGUGCGAAAGCGUGGGGAGCAAACGGG